AGUGAACGCUGGCGGUAGGCCUAACACAUGCAAGUCGAACGGCAGCACAGUAAGAGCUUGCUCUUACGGGUGGCGAGUGGCGGACGGGUGAGGAAUACAUCGGAAUCUACUUUUUCGUGGGGAUAACGUAGGGAAACUUACGCUAAUACCGCAUACGACCUACGGGUGAAAGCAGGGGAUCUUCGGACCUUGCGCGAUUGAAUGAGCCGAUGUCGGAUUAGCUAGUUGGCGGGGUAAAGGCCCACCAAGGCGACGAUCCGUAGCUGGUCUGUGAGGAUGAUCAGCCACACUGGAACUGAGACACGGUCCAGACUCCUACGGGAGGCAGCAGUGGGGAAUAUUGGACAAAGGGCGCAAGCCUGAUCCAGCCAUACCGCGUGGGUGAAGAAGGCCUUCGGGUUGUAAAGCCCUUUUGUUGGGAAAGAAAAGCAGCAGGUUAAUACCCCGCUGUUCUGACGGUACCCAAAGAAUAAGCACCGGCUAACUUCGUG
RNAcentral lists this ribosomal RNA (491 nucleotides) under uncultured bacterium. RNAcentral's name for it is "partial 16S ribosomal RNA". It matches the Rfam family "Bacterial small subunit ribosomal RNA", at positions 29 to 507 of the family's 1533-position model. The record is from RNAcentral.